Long non-coding RNA from Leopardus geoffroyi (Geoffroy's cat), 171 nucleotides. RefSeq lists it as uncharacterized. NCBI's taxonomy places the organism in Eukaryota, Metazoa, Chordata, Mammalia, Carnivora, Felidae. The transcript has 2 exons. The record is from RefSeq and is a predicted model, not a curated record.
GGUUUCUGCAGUUUCUCAGCUUCGUUCGUCGCGGGGUCCGUACUUGCUCGGAAGCUGAAAGCCGGACCAGCCCCACCGUGCACCGGGCUCAAGAUUUCGACUCUGGUUGGACUUCAAGCAUGCCAUUAGCUAAUCUGCCACACUGAUGGGAAUAAAAUUCUUCUUAAAGCA